This 352-nucleotide ribosomal RNA is filed under the name Panchlora nivea. RNAcentral's name for it is "partial 12S ribosomal RNA". The record is from RNAcentral. Lineage: Eukaryota; Metazoa; Arthropoda; Insecta; Blattodea; Blaberidae.
UUAGACUUAAAAUUUUUUAUGCUUAGGUAGUAUUAGUUAUGGACUUGAAACCUAAAGAAUUUGGCGGUAUUUUAGUCUUUUUAGAGGAAUCUGUCCCUUAAUCGAUAAUCCACGUUGAACCUUACUUGGUUUUAAUUAAUCUGUAUAUCGCCGUUUUUGAAAAUCUUUUCAGAGGAUUUUCUUAAUAUUAAACUUUAUAAUAAUUCAGGUCAAGGUGCAGUUUAUGAUCAAGUGGUGAUGGAUUACAAUAUAUUCAUUAAAACGGAUUAAAUUUUGUAAUUUUAAUUUAUGAAGGUGGAUUUAAUAGUAAUUAUUUAAAGAUUGUUAUUUUGGCUAUAGCUCUAAAAUGUGU